AGGACAAACGCUGGCGGGGUGCGUGAGACAUGCAAGUCGAACGAGGUUUCAUGGGGCUUGCUCUGUGAAACCUAGUGGCGGACGGCUGAGUAACGCGUAGGUGACCUGCCCGGAAGUGGGGAAUAACUGCCCGAAAGGGUGGCUAAUACCGCAUGUGGUCGUCGAAUCAGUUCGCCGACUAAAGGAGUAAUCCGCUUCCGGAGGGGCCUGCGUCCGAUUAGCUAGUUGGUGAGGUAACGGCCCACCAAGGCGACGAUCGGUAGCUGGUCUGAGAGGAUGAUCAGCCAGACUGGGACUGAGAACGGCCCAGACUCCUACGGGAGGCAGCAGUCGGGAAUUUUGCCCAAUGGACGAAAGUCUGAGGCAGCAACUCCGCGUGAGGGAUGAAGGCCUUCGGGUUGUAACCUCUUUAUCAGGGAAGAUAAUGACGGUACCUGAUGAAUAAGUCACGGCUAACUACGUGCCAGCAGCCGC
Molecule: ribosomal RNA, 474 nt
Filed under: uncultured bacterium
Lineage: Bacteria
Description: SSU rRNA
Rfam family: Bacterial small subunit ribosomal RNA
Source: RNAcentral